Molecule: ribosomal RNA, 901 nt
Filed under: uncultured bacterium
Lineage: Bacteria
Description: bacterial SSU rRNA
Rfam family: Bacterial small subunit ribosomal RNA
Source: RNAcentral
AGAGUUUGAUCCUGGCUCAGGACGAACGCUGGCGGCGUGCUUAACACAUGCAAGUCGAACGAGGUCCACCCAGUGGCAACACUGGUGAAGACCUAGUGGCGAACGGGUGAGUAACACGUGAGGAACCUGCCCCGAAGACUGGGAUAAGCCCCCGAAAGGGGGUCUAAUACCGGAUGCCCUCUACUGAUCGCAUGGUCGGUUGAGGAAAGGAUUCUGCUUCGGGAGGGCCUCGCGGCCUAUCAGCUUGUUGGUGAGGUAACGGCUCACCAAGGCGACGACGGGUAGCUGGUCUGAGAGGACGAUCAGCCACACUGGGACUGAGACACGGCCCAGACUCCUACGGGAGGCAGCAGUGGGGAAUCUUGCGCAAUGGGCGAAAGCCUGACGCAGCAACGCCGCGUGCGGGAUGAAGGCCUUCGGGUUGUAAACCGCUUUCAGUGGGGACGAAAACAGACGGUACCCACAGAAGAAGCCCCGGCCAACUACGUGCCAGCAGCCGCGGUAGCACGUAGGGGGCGAGCGUUGUCCGGAAUCAUUGGGCGUAAAGAGCUCGUAGGCGGCUCAGUAAGUCGGGUGUGAAACCCCCAGGCUCAACCUGGGGACGCCACCCGAUACUGCUGUGGCUAGAGUCCAGUAGGGGAGUGUGGAAUUCCCGGUGUAGCGGUGAAAUGCGCAGAUAUCGGGAGGAACACCAGCGGCGAAGGCGGCACUCUGGGCUGGAACUGACGCUGAGGAGCGAAAGCGUGGGUAGCAAACAGGAUUAGAUACCCUGGUAGUCCACGCCGUAAACGUUGGGCACUAGGUGUGGGGACCCUCCAACGGUCUCCGUGCCGUAGCUAACGCAUUAAGUGCCCCGCCUGGGGAGUACGGCCGCAAGGCUAAAACUCAAAGGAAUUGACGG